ACAGAGGGUGCGAGCGUUAAUCGGAAUUACUGGGCGUAAAGCGCGCGUAGACGGUUUUGUAAGUCAGAUGUGAAAUCCCUGGGCUCAACCUGGGAACUGCAUUUGAAACUGCAUGGCUAGAGUAUCGAAGAGGGAAGUGGAAUUUCCGGUGUAGCGGUGAAAUGCGUAGAUAUCGGAAGGAACACCAGUGGCGAAAGCGACUUCCUGGUCGAAUACUGACGUUCAUGUGCGAAAGCGUGGGGAGCAAACAGGAUUAGAUACCCUGGUAGUCCACGCCAUAAACGAUGACAACUAGAUGUUGGGAGGGUCUGCCUCUCGGUGUCGCAGCUAACGCGUUAAGUUGUCCGCCUGGGGAGUACGGCCGCAAGGUUG
Molecule: ribosomal RNA, 372 nt
Filed under: uncultured bacterium
Lineage: Bacteria
Description: bacterial SSU rRNA
Rfam family: Bacterial small subunit ribosomal RNA
Source: RNAcentral